This 624-nucleotide ribosomal RNA is filed under the name uncultured bacterium. RNAcentral's name for it is "bacterial SSU rRNA". It matches the Rfam family "Bacterial small subunit ribosomal RNA", at positions 103 to 707 of the family's 1533-position model. The record is from RNAcentral.
CGGGUGAGUAACACGUGGGUAACCUGCCCGGAAGUGGGGAAUACCUCGGGGAAACUCGAGCUAAUACCGCAUGACAUCUCAGGGACGAAAGUCCCGGCGAUCAAAGCGGGGCCGCAAGGUCUCGCGCUACCGGAUGGGCCCGCGCCCGAUUAGCUAGUUGGUGGGGUAACGGCUCACCAAGGCGACGAUCGGUAACCGGCCUGAGAGGGCGAUCGGUCACACCGGAACUGAGACACGGUCCGGACUCCUACGGGAGGCAGCAGUGGGGAAUCUUGCGCAAUGGGCGAAAGCCUGACGCAGCAACGCCGCGUGGAGGAUGAAGGCCCUUGGGUUGUAAACUCCUGUCGGCUGGGAAGAAAUCAUACGGUGCUCAUACCACCGUAUGUUGACUGUACCAGCAAAGGAAGCCCCGGCUAACUCUGUGCCAGCAGCCGCGGUAAUACAGAGGGGGCCAGCGUUAUUCGGAAUUAUUGGGCGUAAAGGGCGCGUAGGCGGCCAUGCGUGUCUUCCGUGAAAUCCCUCGGCUUAACUGAGGACGUGCGGAAGAAACUGCAAGGCUCGAGUCCGGGAGAGGGGGGUGGAAUUCCCAGUGUAGCGGUGAAAUGCGUAGAUAUUGGGAGGAAC